Non-coding RNA from Electrophorus electricus (electric eel), 429 nucleotides. The record is from RefSeq and is a predicted model, not a curated record. Lineage: Eukaryota; Metazoa; Chordata; Actinopteri; Gymnotiformes; Gymnotidae.
CCAUUCACUGCUGGAAAAAUUCGUAAUCCUGCUACAAAUUGAGUUCGCCUGCAAAAUCCUCAAAAGGGUCAAGCUCGGAGACAGCCAAAACUCCAUCUCCUCCAUCGACUUCAGGGUGUUGCAGUGUAAUUCCGGUCUUGAAGCUAAGAAGUGGCCUUAGUCAGCCAACACAAUCCAACUGUGGCUCAGUCCAAAUGUGGACGGAUGGAGAGUUUGAACUAAAGGCCCAACAGAAAUAAGAUAAGACAUAAUAACUCCAUUCAUAUGUGCAGUGGUUGACACUGAUUGAGUAACUGUCGUUCGUGUUUUGUUAUAGCUCUUUAUUAGUGAGUCCAAUGCCUCAGGUCAUUAAUUGCAUUUCCCUUAAUUUUUAAUGCAUUCAUACUCUAUUACCUGUGAUUAUUAAAUAAACAAUCUAUUAGUUGUAAA